UUGCCUUAAACCAAUGAGUAAGGAAAACAAUGCGAGCGGUGAGAGCUGCUCGCUGCGCUUGUAGCGUAAGAAAUUUUGGAGGGUAAUAGGCUGGCCAAGUGUAGACGCUGCUUACUUUCGCAGAACUCGCUUGUGCGGGCCUCCCUU
Molecule: small nuclear RNA, 147 nt
Organism: Mercurialis annua (annual mercury)
Lineage: Eukaryota; Viridiplantae; Streptophyta; Magnoliopsida; Malpighiales; Euphorbiaceae
Product: U12 minor spliceosomal RNA
Exons: 1
Source: RefSeq, a predicted model, not a curated record